RNAcentral lists this ribosomal RNA (428 nucleotides) under uncultured bacterium. RNAcentral's name for it is "bacterial SSU rRNA". It matches the Rfam family "Bacterial small subunit ribosomal RNA", at positions 354 to 774 of the family's 1533-position model. The record is from RNAcentral.
GUGGGGAAUUUUGGACAAUGGGCGCAAGCCUGAUCCAGCAAUGCCGCGUGCAGGAUGAAGGCCUUCGGGUUGUAAACUGCUUUUGUACGGAACGAAAAAGCUCUCUCUAAUACAGGGGGUGAAUGACGGUACCGUAAGAAUAAGCACCGGCUAACUACGUGCCAGCAGCCGCGGUAAUACGUAGGGUGCAAGCGUUAAUCGGAAUUACUGGGCGUAAAGCGUGCGCAGGCGGUUUUGUAAGACAGAUGUGAAAUCCCCGGGCUUAACCUGGGAACUGCGUUUGUGACUGCAAGGCUGGAGUACGGCAGAGGGAGGUGGAAUUCCACGUGUAGCAGUGAAAUGCGUAGAGAUGUGGAGGAACACCGAUGGCGAAGGCAGCCCCCUGGGCCUGUACUGACGCUCAUGCACGAAAGCGUGGGGAGCAAACA